CGGGGCGUAGCGCAGCCUGGCUAGCGCGCUUGCUUGGGGUGCAAGAGGUCCCGGGUUCAAAUCCCGGCGCCCCGACCC
Molecule: transfer RNA, 78 nt
Filed under: Planctomycetota bacterium
Lineage: Bacteria; Pseudomonadati; Planctomycetota
Description: Planctomycetes bacterium (sediment metagenome) tRNA-Pro
Rfam family: tRNA
About the family: Transfer RNA (tRNA) molecules are approximately 80 nucleotides in length. Their secondary structure includes four short double-helical elements and three loops (D, anti-codon, and T loops). Further hydrogen bonds mediate the characteristic L-shaped molecular structure. tRNAs have two regions of fundamental functional importance: the anti-codon, which is responsible for specific mRNA codon recognition, and the 3' end, to which the tRNAs corresponding amino acid is attached (by aminoacyl-tRNA synthetases). tRNAs cope with the degeneracy of the genetic code in two manners: having more than one tRNA (with a specific anti-codon) for a particular amino acid; and 'wobble' base-pairing, i.e. permitting non-standard base-pairing at the 3rd anti-codon position.
Source: RNAcentral